This is a long non-coding RNA of Equus caballus (horse), 1610 nucleotides long. NCBI's taxonomy places the organism in Eukaryota, Metazoa, Chordata, Mammalia, Perissodactyla, Equidae. The record is from Ensembl.
CUUGAUACUACACAGCCUGCCUCUCAGAGUCCCUGGUUGUUCACUCUGUUCCCGAGUGCACAUCCUGUGUGGCCCCAGGUGGCAUUUGGUGACCUCCUCCCCCAGGCUAACCUUAGGAAGAGGAGGAAGCAGCUUUGGUUGGAUAUAGUGAUCCUCGUGCUGAAGAGGACCCGCCACGGGCUUCAAGGUCUUACUUGGAAGAGGUUGUGGCAAUUUAUAAUUAUACAAAAGACAAGGAAGAUGAGCUAUCCUUUCAGGAAGAGCCAUUAUUUAUGUCAUCCAAAAGAAAACGAUGGUUGAUAUGAGGGAGUUCUGAUGCAGUGACUAGGCUCUUUCCUGCGAAUUAUGCUGAGUCUGUCAUGCAUUGUCCUGAGUAAAGCUCAGCAGGGGAUAAUCGGGUCUUCCAAGAUUGUUAAAAGGCCCUGGGGAUUCCCCCCCCCUGGUGAAAUGAAUGAAAGACACGAAUGAUGAAAACUACUUUUUUUUUUGGUUUAUCCCCCUGUAUCAAAACAAACAAAAAAGCAAGCGGAGUCUGAACAAAUGGAUCUUUCUGCCAUCAUUUGCACUGUGCUGAGCUGUCUGAAUUGAUAUAAAGUGAUGAUUUCUAAAUAUGUAAAAAAAAUACAUACAGCAGAUUUCAUGGAAAACAAACAUAAUGCACAUGUACAAAUAUACGUACAGCAUACAAGCAGAUAGUGUAUCUGUGGUGCUAAGAUGCCAAUCCUGAUCGUGCACGUCCACAGGUCGAUCAUCACCGCCCGCUUGCAAGGCAAUCACGUUUUUGUGACACCGAGUCAUCAUUAUCUAAUCUGUGGACAGCAAUAUGGUACUGAUGCUCUAGGAAGAACUUGGAAGUGGAGCCUGGGUGUCAGGGCCAGAUGACUGGGCUUUCCCGAGCUGGUCCUGUCAGCUUCUCAUUUCUUGCCUUCGCCCAAAAGCCAAGCACACACUCACAAGGCCUUCGCACUCACAGUUCCCUCUGCCUAUAAAGCUCUCUGCCAGAGCAGGGCUCACUUGCUCAUUUGCUCCAGGGCCCUGCUCACAAUUCACGUCCUCAGAAUGCACGCCCAGCCGGUCCCCACUCUCAACCCUUUACUCUAUUUUUUUCUUUGCUUGUUUUCACUUAUGAUGCCUAUCACCACCUGGCAUUAUAUUAGAGCCCUCCCUCCUAUCCGUGAGGGAUUGGUUCCAGGACUCAGCUGCCCAGAUACCAAAAUCCCUGGAUGCUCAAGUCUCUUAUAAAAUGGCCCAUCCUCUGGAGUGCUUUAUAUCAUCUCUGGAUUACUGAUAUACCUGAUACAGUGUAAAGGCUAUGUAAGUAGUUGUUAUACUGUAUUGUUUAGGGUACAAUGACAAGGAGAAAAGUCUGUACGUGUUCAGUACAGACACAACCAUCGCAGGCCUUCCCAUCGACGUUGGUUGAAUAUGGAUGCAGAUCCUAUGGAUACGAAGGGCUGACUGUAUUAUCUAUUUGGUUUUUUUGUUUAUUGUUUAUUUCCCUCAUGGGGCCGUAAACUUCAUAGGAUGGGGCUUUUGUUUACUACUGUCCCUCCAAAAUAGGGACUCGAUAUUUGUUGACUGUGUAAUGGAGACAUGAAUAAAUACUGGAG